Molecule: long non-coding RNA, 917 nt
Organism: Homo sapiens (human)
Lineage: Eukaryota; Metazoa; Chordata; Mammalia; Primates; Hominidae
Exons: 6
Source: RefSeq, a predicted model, not a curated record
UUCACUCUUGAAGCCAGCGAGACCAUGAACUCACCGGGAGGGACGAACAACUCCAGACGCGCUGCCUUAAGAGCGGUAACACUUACCGCGAAGGUUCACGGGUUCACUUCUGAGCCAGUGAGACCACGAACCCACCAGAAGAAAGAAACUCCGAAGACAUCCGAACAUCAGAAGGAACAAACUCUAGACGCGUCACCUUAAGAGCUGUAACACUGACCGCAAGGCUCCGCGGCUUCAUUCUAGAACUGCUGCAAAAAGUCAAUCCUGGAGCUCAUUUGCUCUUCACUUGACAUAAGUGCUUCCUUUGGUAUUAAUUUUUUUUUUUUUUGCACCAGUGAAGGUUCUUACUUGAAACUGAUUUAACAUAUUAAGGAAAGGGAUCAAUUGAAAGAAUGUUGGGUAGCUCACAGAUGACUGGGAAGUCUGCUUUGGAUGCCUGCUGGAACAAUGGAGGUUGAGAAACAGCUAGGACCCCAGCUGAAAUCAUGCCUGUCUGGUGGAGCAUUAACAUGCUUCCAGAAGUCAAAACUAUAUAAAGGAUAUACUCCGAGAAGUAUUCCUCCCUUCUGUACCCACUCCAUCUUGUUCCUCCUAGCCAGCUCUUGAAGAGUCGGAAAUUCACUCUAAACAGGAGAAGCAGCAAUGAGAACUUCAAGAAGAGAUAUAAGCUCAUCCAAGAUCAACUGCAGAGGAGGACGAGGGAAAUUUUAUAUGGGAACAAUUAUCUGAAAAAUAGUCAUUCAUCGAUUCAAGCUCUGACAUCUUUCGGUUCUGCCAUUCCCCCAGAGAAUGUCCUCAUUUGUAUGGUCAAGGCUGGGUUGCAGAGAAGUCCAUGUUGCAGCUCAUGGAAAAAAAGAACCAAAGGGACUCAAGAACACUGGCUUAUGUCUUAGAUUGGAGAUGACCUGGAAAGUCAA